Molecule: ribosomal RNA, 253 nt
Filed under: uncultured bacterium
Lineage: Bacteria
Description: partial 16S ribosomal RNA
Rfam family: Bacterial small subunit ribosomal RNA
Source: RNAcentral
UACGUAGGUGGCAAGCGUUAAUCGGAAUUACUGGGCGUAAAGCGUGCGCAGGCGGUUGUGCAAGACCGAUGUGAAAUCCCCGGGCUUAACCUGGGAAUGGCAUUGGUGACUGCACGGCUAGAGUGUGUCAGAGGGGGGUAGAAUUCCACGUGUAGCAGUGAAAUGCGUAGAGAUGUGGAGGAAUACCGAUGGCGAAGGCAGCCCCCUGGGAUAACACUGACGCUCAUGCACGAAAGCGUGGGGAGCAAACAGG